UACGUAGGGUGCAAGCGUUAUCCGGAAUCACUGGGCGUAAAGCGUGCGUAGACGGUUAUUUAAGUCGGGUGUGAAAGCCCCGGGCUCAACCUGGGAAUUGCAUUCGAGACUGAAUAGCUAGGGUACGGUAGAGGGAAGUGGAAUUUCCGGUGUAGCGGUGAAAUGCGUAGAUAUCGGAAGGAACAUCAGUGGCGAAAGCGACUUCCUGGACCAGUACCGACGUUCAGGCACGAAAGCGUGGGGAGCAAACAGG
RNAcentral lists this ribosomal RNA (253 nucleotides) under uncultured bacterium. RNAcentral's name for it is "partial 16S ribosomal RNA". It matches the Rfam family "Bacterial small subunit ribosomal RNA", at positions 524 to 776 of the family's 1533-position model. The record is from RNAcentral.